CGAAAGCCUGACGGAGCAAUACCGCGUGAGGGAAGAAGGUCUUUGGAUCGUAAACCUCUUUUCUCAGGGAAGAAGCUCUGACGGUACCUGAGGAAUCAGCCUCGGCUAACUCCGUGCCAGCAGCCGCGGUAAUACGGAGGAGGCAAGCGUUAUCCGGAAUUAUUGGGCGUAAAGCGUCCGCAGGUGGCGAUUCAAGUCUGCUGUCAAAGCACGGGGCUUAACUCCGUAAAGGCAGUGGAAACUGAAUAGCUAGAGUGCCGUAGGGGUAGAGGGAAUUCCCGGUGUAGCGGUGAAAUGCGUAGAGAUCGGGAAGAACAUCGGUGGCGAAAGCGCCCUACUGGGCCAUAACUGACACUGAGGGACGAAAGCUAGGGUAGCG
RNAcentral lists this ribosomal RNA (379 nucleotides) under uncultured cyanobacterium. RNAcentral describes it as "bacterial SSU rRNA". It matches the Rfam family "Bacterial small subunit ribosomal RNA", at positions 376 to 770 of the family's 1533-position model. Lineage: Bacteria; Bacillati; Cyanobacteriota. The record is from RNAcentral.